UACGACUACAUAUCAGGCAUAUCAAUAAGCGGAGGAAAAGAAACUAACAAGGAUUCCCUUAGUAACGGCGAGUGAAGCGGGAAGAGCUCAAAUUUGAAAUCUUCAAGGUUCUACCUUGACGAAUUGUAGUUUAUAGAAGUGUUUUCUGUUAGUGGAGUGGCAAAAGUUCUUUGGAAUAGGACAUCAUAGAGGGUGAGAAUCCCGUAUUUGGUCAUUCCUCCUAGCGUUGUGAUACACUUUCAACGAGUCGGAUUGUUUGGGAAUGCAGUCCAAAAUGGGUGGUAAAUCUCAUCUAAAGCUAAAUAUUGGCGAGAGACCGAUAGCGAACAAGUACCGUGAGGGAAAGAUGAAAAGAACUUUGAAAAGAGAGUUAAACAGUACGUGAAAUUGUCAAAAGGGAAGCGUUUGACACCAGUGUUGUUUUUCCGAAAAUCAAUUACGAAUGUUUUGUUUUUAAGAAGUUAUGACUUCAUCGGCUUGCUUCUUUCUUUACGAAACUUUCUUAAUGCACUUUUCGGUUAACAAGUCAACAUCAAUUUCUUUUGUUGUAAAAGGGUAUGAGGAAGGUGGCUUUCUUUUCGGAGAAAGUGUUUAUAGCCUUGUGCCUCUGCAAUCGGAGAGAUUGAGGUCUGCAGCGUAGAUCCUUCGGGGUUAGAUACAUUUGUGCUAAGUUAUAGCUUUUCAUAGACAACUUGUUGACCUAUGUUUAGUCUUGUAGCUUACUCGCUUAUGCUAUUUUACCUACGCUUAGGAUGUUGAUCUCUCACAGUCGAGC
This 775-nucleotide ribosomal RNA is filed under the name uncultured Neocallimastigales. Its description in RNAcentral is "partial large subunit ribosomal RNA". It matches the Rfam family "Eukaryotic large subunit ribosomal RNA", at positions 24 to 645 of the family's 3401-position model. Lineage: Eukaryota; Fungi; Neocallimastigomycota; Neocallimastigomycetes; Neocallimastigales. The record is from RNAcentral.